GUGGGGAAUUGUUCGCAAUGGGCGCAAGCCUGACGACGCAACGCCGCGUGGAGGAUGAAGAUCUUCGGGUCGUAAACUCCUUUCGAUCGAGACGAAUGGCCCUUGGGCUAACACCCUGAGGGAGUGACGGUACCGAGAGAAGAAGCCCCGGCUAACUCCGUGCCAGCAGCCGCGGUAAUACGGGGGGGGCAAGCGUUGUUCGGAAUUACUGGGCGUAAAGGGCUCGUAGGCGGCCAACUAAGUCAUACGUGAAAUCCCUCGGCUUAACCGGGGAACUGCGUCUGAUACUGGAUGGCUUGAGUUCGGGAGAGGGAUGCGGAAUUCCAGGUGUAGCGGUGAAAUGCGUAGAUAUCUGGAGGAACACCGGUGGCGAAGGCGGCAUCCUGGACCGAUACUGACGCUGAGGAGCGAAAGCCAGGGGAGCAAACGGGAUUAGAAACCCCAGUAGUCC
Molecule: ribosomal RNA, 451 nt
Filed under: uncultured bacterium
Lineage: Bacteria
Description: bacterial SSU rRNA
Rfam family: Bacterial small subunit ribosomal RNA
Source: RNAcentral